Molecule: ribosomal RNA, 1226 nt
Filed under: Eicissus sp. JRC-2010
Lineage: Eukaryota; Metazoa; Arthropoda; Insecta; Hemiptera; Epipygidae
Description: SSU rRNA
Rfam family: Eukaryotic small subunit ribosomal RNA
Source: RNAcentral
GUGUUCCACGCUGUCGGUUCGCCGCCCGUCGGUGUUAACUGGCAUGUCCUGUGGAACGUCCUGCCGGUGGCGGUCCGGGCUUUCGGCCGGCGUAAAGGCUUCUCGCCCGAAGCCGGUCGAUCAGUUCCGGCCGCCGGUCCAAUCCCGCCACGGUGCUCUUCACCGAGUGUCGAGGUGGGCCGGCACGUUUACUUUGAACAAAUUAGAGUGCUUAAAGCAGGCUGGUGUCCGCCUGAAUACUGUGUGCAUGGAAUAAUGGAAUAGGACCUCGGUUCUAUUUUGUUGGUUUUCGGAACCCGAGGUAAUGAUUAAUAGGGACAGGCGGGGGCAUUCGUAUUGCGACGUUAGAGGUGAAAUUCUUGGAUCGUCGCAAGACGAACCUAAGCGAAAGCAUUUGCCAAGUAUGUUCUCGUUAAUCAAGAACGAAAGUUAGAGGCUCGAAGGCGAUCAGAUACCGCCCUAGUUCUAACCAUAAACGAUGCCAGCCAGCGAUCCGCCGAAGUUCCUCCGAUGACUCGGCGGGCAGCUUCCGGGAAACCAAAGCUUUUGGGUUCCGGGGGAAGUAUGGUUGCAAAGCUGAAACUUAAAGGAAUUGACGGAAGGGCACCACCAGGAGUGGAGCCUGCGGCUUAAUUUGACUCAACACGGGAAACCUCACCAGGCCCAGACACCGGAAGGAUUGACAGAUUGAGAGCUCUUUCUUGAUUCGGUGGGUGGUGGUGCAUGGCCGUUCUUAGUUGGUGGAGCGAUUUGUCUGGUUAAUUCCGAUAACGAACGAGACUCUAGCCUGCUAACUAGGCGAUUUCCGGUACCCACAAUAGUGUUACCGGCGAUUCAAUUUCUUCUUAGAGGGACAGGCGGCUCCUAGCCGCACGAGACUGAGCAAUAACAGGUCUGUGAUGCCCUUAGAUGUCCUGGGCCGCACGCGCGCUACACUGAAGGAAUCAGCGUGUCUUCCCUGGCCGACAGGCCCGGGUAACCCGUUGAACCUCCUUCGUGCUAGGGACUGGGGCUUGCAAUUGUUCCCCACGAACGAGGAAUUCCCAGUAAGCGCGAGUCAUAAGCUCGCGUUGAUUACGUCCCUGCCCUUUGUACACACCGCCCGUCGCUACUACCGAUUGAAUGAUUUAGUGAGGUCUUCGGACUGGUGCGCGGCGAUCGGCUCGUCCGGUCGCCGAUGUUGCCGGAAAGAUGACCAAACUUGAUCAUUUAGAGGAAGUAAAAGU